GACGUAGGGGGCGAGCGUUGUCCGGAUUUAUUGGGCGUAAAGGGCGUGUAGGCGGCUGGGUAAGGGUUGGGUGAAAUCUGCCGGCUUAACUGGCAGGGGUCCUGGCCGACUGCCUGGCUUGAGGGUGGUAGGGGCGCGCGGAAUUCCCGGUGUAGUGGUGAAAUGCGUAGAGCUCGGGAGGAACACCGGUGGCGAAGGCGGCGCGCUGGGCCAACUCUGACGCUGAGACGCGAAAGCGUGGGGAGCGAACUGG
RNAcentral lists this ribosomal RNA (253 nucleotides) under uncultured bacterium. RNAcentral describes it as "partial 16S ribosomal RNA". It matches the Rfam family "Bacterial small subunit ribosomal RNA", at positions 524 to 776 of the family's 1533-position model. The record is from RNAcentral.